Molecule: long non-coding RNA, 1830 nt
Organism: Erinaceus europaeus (western European hedgehog)
Lineage: Eukaryota; Metazoa; Chordata; Mammalia; Eulipotyphla; Erinaceidae
Exons: 2
Source: RefSeq, a predicted model, not a curated record
UGUCACAGGAUGAAAAAGGCACCAAGCACUGAGCAGAGCUGAAUGCAGCCCACAGGUGCCCGCCCGGGAGGCCAGCCUCCAUGAGGACAGAUGGGGGAGAGAGGGGCACAGUGACAUUUCAGGUCGCCGGCCUCCCGGCUCCGCGGCAAUAUUUACCCUCCUGAAAUAGCUCCGUCACAUGAGCAGAACUGCACACACAACCCGCAGACACAAAAGGACGGUUUCUCGGUGCCAGGCGCGCCGGGGGCCCGUGUUCCGCCCCCCAUCCUAGGCCUGGGCAGACCUGGGGGCCAAGGUCGGACAGCCAACCCUCACCCACCCUUUCCCCUCACGUGGUCUGGAAAGGUCCCGGGUCACGGGGACAGACUGUGGCUGAAGCGGCCUGGACCUCAGGCCACUGCCAUGAUACCAGGCCCAGAGGUGGGAGAGAGCUGCCCUUGCAGUCACACCUGGCCAGCCGAACUCGAGGACCCAGGUGCGAGCCCCAGGCCCCUGCACUGAAGGAGGCUCCUGGAGCGGCGUUGAAGUGUCUCAGUCUCUCCCUCUCUGUCUCUGUCUGAAAUUGAAAAGAAGAGAAGAGUCAGCACCGGUGGGAUCUCACAAGUGCACAGAGCCUCCAGGAGCAAGAAGAAAAAAAAAGUUCGGUCUAGGGACCAGGCGGUGGCACAGCUGGUAGAGCGCACACUUCACCUUGUGCGAGAACCCAGCUUCAAGAACUGGUCCCCACCUGCAGGGGCAGAAGCUUCCUGAGCGGUGAAGCGGGGCUGCAGGUCUCUCUCUUUCUCUCCUCAUCUCUAUCUUCCCCUCUUCAAUUCCUCUCUCUUUUUAAUUUUUUUUUAUGCAUUACUGGAUAGAGACAGAGAGAAACUGAGAGGGGAAAAGGAGAGAGAGAGAGAGAGACCUGCAGCCCUGCUUCACCACUCUUGAAGCUUUUCCCCUGCAGAUGGGGAGCAGGGGCUUGAACCCAGAUCCUUGUGCACUGUCAUAUGUGCCCUUUACCAGGUGUGCCACCAUCUGACCUCCUUAAUUUCUCUCUACCUUAUAAGAUAUAAAAAUAACUACAAAAAAAAAACAACCCUGAGGGAAUGGUGCCGAUAUGGAAAGAGGAGAGUGAAGUUGGUUUCAGCUAUUUGGGGAGAGGGCUGAGUCCCUCUACCCCACAUCUGAUUUUGACUUUUUUUUUUUCUUUUUAAAGUUUUUUUUUUUUUUUUUUUUUUUUUUAACCAGAGCACAGCUAAACUCUGGCUUAUGGUGAUUUGGGAGGUUGAACCUGGGACUUUGGAGCCUCAGGUAUGAGAGUCAUUUUGCAUAACCAUUAUGCUAUCCACCUUCCCCUCCACUCCCAUGACUUUUUUUUCCCUGUAAAGUUGGGUAAAUUUCAUUGCUAGAUUUGUUUUUUAUUUAUAUCUCUGGGGCUUAGUGCACAGCUCCAAUGCUCCUAGAGGUCAUGUACGUUUCUUUAGAUAGAGGUUGAGAAACAGAGGCAGGAAGGGGGUCACCUCUCCCCGUUCCUGAAGCUUCCCCACCUGCAGGGUUUCCCCUGUAGUGUCCCUGAGCUCAGACCUGGGUCCUAGAGCAUGUAACCUGUGAGCUCUACCAGGCAGGCCACUUCUGGCACCCUGCUUAUUUGUCUGGACAAGAGCUCCACUCCGCUCUGGCUUAUGGUGGUGCUGGGGAUUGAACCUGGGACUCAGUGCCUCAGUCAUGAAAACCUUUUUGCAGAAGCAUUAUACUAUUUCCCGAGUCUUCCCUUUUGUUUUGUUUUGUUUUGUUUGUUAAAUGUGGCGAAUGCAGCCAGGACCUCAAUUAAUAAAUAGUAAAAAAUAACAC